GCCACUGCACUCCAGCCUGGGCGACAGAGCAAGACUCCGUCUCAAAAAGCAAAAACAAACAAAACAAAACAAAACAAAAACUCCAACCCUCUUGGGAAAGCCCAUCUUCUACUAAGUCCAUUCUUAUUAGAGGCAGGAGGUCCAUCAUCACACCCUUCUGAAUCUCAGUUUCAAAGAGACCAAGCCCUUUGCCCAGUCUUGAUAAAAUAAUGGGAGAAUGCUAGCCUUGUCCUGCCAGAAUGGCACCUUAAGCUUGAUCUCUCUUUCUAUGUGGUUUCAUAGUCCAAUGCCUCCAGCAGCAGAAGCUCGGCAGGAGCCUGGAUGGCCAUCUUUCUUCUGAUAGCAAUAAGCUGGAUGCUGGGAUAGAAGCCUGAUACCUCCUCCAACCCUAGUCCUUGGCCUCUAGUUUACUCGCCUGAGGCAAGGGUAGAGUGGAGGAAGAUUUAGGGAAAGCAAGUAGUCCGUUUUAUUGUUACGGACCAGAGAGGUUGGGGGUGCAGAUGAAACCAACAUCUGGUUGGCCGGGCACGGUGGCUCACACCUGUAAUCCCAGCACUUUGGGAGGCCGAGGCGGGCGGAUCAUGAAGUCAGGAGAUCGAGACCAUCCUAGCUAACACGGUGAAACCCCGUCUCUACUAAAAACACAAAAAAUUUGCCGGGCGUGGUGGCGGGAGCCUGUAGUCUCAGUUACUCAGGAGGCUGAGACAGGAGAAUGGCAUGAACCCGGGAGGCAGAGGUUGCAGUGAGCCGAGAUCGCGCCACUGCACUCCAGCCUGGGUGACAGAGCGAGACUCCAUCUCAAAAAAAAUAAAUAAAUAAAAAUAAAAAAAAUAAAAAAUAAAAAAUUCAUUUGCA
RNAcentral lists this long non-coding RNA (855 nucleotides) under Homo sapiens (human). RNAcentral describes it as "PREDICTED lncRNA (TCONS_00002075)". Lineage: Eukaryota; Metazoa; Chordata; Mammalia; Primates; Hominidae. The record is from RNAcentral.